AAUGGGGUCCAUGCUGCCGCGGUAUUGCAUGAAAGAGAGGCUGUUGCAUUUUCCCAUCAGCUCUCACUUUAUCCCCUUGGGAUCAUGAUCCGUUCCUCUGAUUGGAAACGACUUUUCUCCUUAUCAGCCAGCAUGUUCACAUUGCUGUGUGUGCACUUUGCUAGUGCAAAAUCAUUGGAAACAUAACAUUCCUUCCUUUUGAAAUCUUAACUGCAUGUUUUGUUAAACCUACAUGCCUCUUGCUUAUUCCAGGUCUAUAAUGAAUGCACACUUCUCUCGGGUUCCUGUCCUAACUCCCCGCACCCAAGAGAGAACACCAAAACCUAACACACUCAUUGCCAGAGCCAAGCAGCCGAACUCCACUUGGUACUGACUCUGCAUAAAUGAAUACCUAGCUUUCGUAUUUACAGCUAAUUGAUACACGUUCGUUUUGCCUUUUAGCUUCUCCUGAAAAACAUCCUCACUCGAAGGUAACGCUUUUAGACUUUUAGCUUGAAAUAAGAACUACAGAUUUUAUCGUGUGUAUGUUAUGUUUUAAUCAACUCUAAUCCAAACCCAUUCAGCCUCCAGUUGGAGUGACCAAUGUUCGUAAAAUAAAAGUUGGAACAAAGGAUUUGCCAACGUCCAGAUCAGAUCGCACAGCAGAGGGACCUCCAAGGCAGACAUCAGGAGAAACGGAGUCAAAGCAAGAUGUGCCCCAGAGACCUCCUUGGGCGAGUGGAUUAGGCAACUCUAAGAUGGCUAAACAAGAGGAUCCAAGAAAUAGAGGCAUAGAAGAGGCCACACGGGUAUGGAAAAUUGAAUAUUUCUAUGCAGUAUUACUCUGCAAGUAUAUAUCCCAGAUGGUCAAUUCCACACACUCUCUCUGAUGAGAAAUGAAUUGUAC
Molecule: long non-coding RNA, 886 nt
Filed under: Sus scrofa (pig)
Lineage: Eukaryota; Metazoa; Chordata; Mammalia; Artiodactyla; Suidae
Description: lncRNA (ENSSSCG00070000926.1)
Source: RNAcentral